This 515-nucleotide ribosomal RNA is filed under the name uncultured bacterium. Its description in RNAcentral is "partial 16S ribosomal RNA". It matches the Rfam family "Bacterial small subunit ribosomal RNA", at positions 28 to 523 of the family's 1533-position model. The record is from RNAcentral.
GAUGAACGCUGGCGGCGUGCCUAAUACAUGCAAGUCGAGCGAAUGGAUUAAGAGCUUGCUCUUAUGAAGUUAGCGGCGGACGGGUGAGUAACACGUGGGUAACCUGCCCAUAAGACUAGGAUAACUCCGGGAAACCGGGGCUAAUACCGGAUAACAUUUUGAACCGCAUGGGUCGAAAUUGAAAGGCGGCUUCGGCUGUCACUUAUGGAUGGACGCACGUCGCAUUAGCUAGUUGGUGAGGUAACGGCUCACCAAGGCAACGAUGCGUAGCCGACCUGAGAGGGUGAUCGGCCACACUGGGACUGAGACACGGCCCAGACUCCUACGGGAGGCAGCAGUAGGGAAUCUUCCGCAAUGGACGAAAGUCUGACGGAGCAACGCCGCGUGAGUGAUGAAGGCUUUCGGGUCGUAAAACUCUGUUGUUAGGGAAGAACAAGUGCUAGUUGAAAAAGCUGGCACCUUGACGGUACCUAACCAGAAAGCCACGGCUAACUACGUGCCAGCCGCCGCGGUAA